This 384-nucleotide unclassified non-coding RNA is filed under the name Bombus terrestris (buff-tailed bumblebee). Its description in RNAcentral is "misc RNA ENSBTSG00005034846.1". Lineage: Eukaryota; Metazoa; Arthropoda; Insecta; Hymenoptera; Apidae. The record is from RNAcentral.
CGACAGAGUGUACGAAGAAACGAGAUGCAUUUCGUCGUGCCCGUAAAUAUAAAGUACCAUGCGGUCACAAAAGAAAGGGAAGAUUCUCAAAGGGGAGAAGCAGGCGUUAAUAAAAUAAGAAGGGACGGAUUACCGACGCUGAAGAAUAUCGCAGCUUAUCCUAUAAAAAAUUCUUCCGGAAUAGAUCCAACACGGAAGAAGCUUUAGAAAGAGGUGGCACGUUUAAAGGGAAACAAGUGGAGCAACGUCGUAAGCAGAUCGAGAAGAAUAUACGAGUGCGGAAACUUGUACAAUAGGAGAAGCGCAUGUCGAAGAGUGAAAAAUAAGGAGAGAACAGUGAAUAACUUAAGAAUCAAACACCAGGCACUUACAAAAAGCAAGGAG